Solea senegalensis (Senegalese sole) is the source of this 460-nucleotide long non-coding RNA. RefSeq lists it as uncharacterized. The transcript is spliced from 3 exons. The record is from RefSeq and is a predicted model, not a curated record. Lineage: Eukaryota; Metazoa; Chordata; Actinopteri; Pleuronectiformes; Soleidae.
GUGCGCAAACUUACAUCUCAGCUUCUCGUCCAGAGUGCCCCGAGAAGUCACCGACAAGGCCUGGAUGAACUCGGAGAACUCGAUACGCCCGUCCUGGAGAGUGACAACAAAAGAGAGAGAGGAAGAAUGACGCGCCGGGUAUUCGGCUUCAGCAGGGACACAGCAGACGUGACACUGUGCAUCAGACUCGACUGUGAGAGCCAGCAUGAGGAUACAGUAUUUAUUACUGGCACCAGCUCAGCUCCUUGGCAUCCACCAUGGUGGCCUCGCUAAAGCAUUGUACGGGAACUUUCUCUUGCUGCUGCCCAGCUGGCCGGAACAUCACUGCGCUAUGGCAUUUUUGUCAUUGAUUUCAGGAUUUCCUUUGAAAAAAAAAGACGCGACGUUACUCACAGUAGGUUUUCCUCGUCAGCUCCUCCACCACCUCGGGUUUGAGCUUGCUGUUGGAUUUACCCAUGAU